Molecule: ribosomal RNA, 450 nt
Filed under: uncultured bacterium
Lineage: Bacteria
Description: partial 16S ribosomal RNA
Rfam family: Bacterial small subunit ribosomal RNA
Source: RNAcentral
GUGGGGAAUAUUGGACAAUGGGCGAAAGCCUGAUCCAGCCAUGCCGCGUGUGUGAAGAAGGUCUUCGGAUUGUAAAGCACUUUAAGUUGGGAGGAAGGGCAGUAAGUUAAUACCUUGCUGUUUUGACGUUACCGACAGAAUAAGCACCGGCUAACUUCGUGCCAGCAGCCGCGGUAAUACGAAGGGUGCAAGCGUUAAUCGGAAUUACUGGGCGUAAAGCGCGCGUAGGUGGUUUUGUAAGUUGGAGGUGAAAUCCCCGGGCUCAACCUGGGAACUGCCUCCAAAACUGCAUGACUAGAGUACGGUAGAGGGUAGUGGAAUUUCCUGUGUAGUGGUGAAAUGCGUAGAUAUAGGAAGGAACACCAGUGGCGAAGGCGACCACCUGGACUGAUACUGACACUGAGGUGCGAAAGCGUGGGGAGCAAACAGGAUUAGAAACCCGAGUAGUCC